CACGAAGCCGGAAUCGCUAGUAAUCGCAGAUCAGAAUGCUGCGGUGAAUACGUUCCCGGGUCUUGUACACACCGCCCGUCACACCAUGGGAGUCGGAAAUGCCCGAAGUCAGUGGCCCAACCGGAAGGAGGGAGCUGCCGAAGGCAGGUCGGAUGACUGGGGUGAAGUCGUAACAAGGUACC
This 182-nucleotide ribosomal RNA is filed under the name uncultured bacterium. RNAcentral describes it as "partial 16S ribosomal RNA". It matches the Rfam family "Bacterial small subunit ribosomal RNA", at positions 1319 to 1500 of the family's 1533-position model. The record is from RNAcentral.